Molecule: microRNA precursor, 73 nt
Filed under: Loxodonta africana (African savanna elephant)
Lineage: Eukaryota; Metazoa; Chordata; Mammalia; Proboscidea; Elephantidae
Description: miRNA (ENSLAFG00000032948.1)
Source: RNAcentral
AUCUUGUUAAAAUGCAGAGAAGGACUCAGCAGGUCUGGGAUUGGGUCUGAGAUACCGCAUUUUUAACAAGUUC